AUUGCAGAAUUCAGUGAAUCAUCGAAUCUUUGAACGCAUCUUGCGCUCCUUGGUAUUCCGAGGAGCAUGCCUGUUUGAGUGUCGU
RNAcentral lists this ribosomal RNA (85 nucleotides) under Ramaria testaceoflava. Its description in RNAcentral is "partial 5.8S ribosomal RNA". It matches the Rfam family "5.8S ribosomal RNA", at positions 71 to 154 of the family's 154-position model. Rfam says of the family: 5.8S ribosomal RNA (5.8S rRNA) is a component of the large subunit of the eukaryotic ribosome. It is transcribed by RNA polymerase I as part of the 45S precursor that also contains 18S and 28S rRNA. Lineage: Eukaryota; Fungi; Basidiomycota; Agaricomycetes; Gomphales; Gomphaceae. The record is from RNAcentral.